Molecule: ribosomal RNA, 429 nt
Filed under: Triticum aestivum (bread wheat)
Lineage: Eukaryota; Viridiplantae; Streptophyta; Magnoliopsida; Poales; Poaceae
Description: partial small subunit ribosomal RNA
Source: RNAcentral
AUGUCCUACACGACGGAAGUCCGUGCGGGAUCCGGUAGUAAAGGCCCAUAUUAUUAUGAGGACUUGGAGGAUAUGAUGUUUGACAACAUAUAUAAAUCCCUCAAUUCUAACUUUGCGGAUGGUAGCAUUGGGGAGGUUGCUGAACAAUUUUUGAUAAUGCAUGAAGAAUGCCUGGAAAACAACUUUUCAUCGGUUGAGAAAUUAAGGAAUACACGUCCUCAAGGAAAUGCUGUUUCCCAAAGUAGACAGAUGGUACCGGAGGAUGAUGAUGAUGAUAGCUCUGAUGAUGGUGAUGAGCCAUCAAUGGGGAAAGAUGAAGCAGCUAGAUCAGAUGAUAUGGUGAUAGAUCAGCCAAAACCUUCCAAGCCUACCCCUGAUGCUGAUGGGUGGACUGUUGUGCCUCCUAGGCGUGGCCGAGGCAAGAAUUAA